AGAGUUUGAUCAUGGCUCAGAACGAACGCUGGCGGCGUGGAUAAGACAUGCAAGUCGAACGGGGUAUUCUCUGUAGUAAUACAGGGGAUGCUCAGUGGCGUAAGGGUGCGUAACACGUGGGCAACCUGCCCGAGAGUGGGGGAUAGCCCGCCGAAAGGCGGAUUAAUACCGCAUGCGGCCACCGGAGACAUCUCCGGGACGCUAAAGCCGGGGCAACCUGGCGCUCUUGGAUGGGCCCGCGGCCUAUCAGCUAGUUGGUGAGGUAACGGCUCACCAAGGCUAUGACGGGUAGCUGGUCUGAGAGGACGACCAGUCACACGGGAACUGAGACACGGUCCAGACACCUACGGGUGGCAGCAGUCGAGAAUUUUUCUCAAUGGGGGAAACCCUGAAGGAGCGACGCCGCGUGGAGGAUGAAGGUCUUCGGAUUGUAAACUCCUGUCAUUGGUGAACAAAGCCCGCGGUUAACUGCCGUUGGGACUGAUAGUAGCCGAAGAGGAAGAGACGGCUAACUCUGUGCCAGCCGCCGCGGUAAUAC
Molecule: ribosomal RNA, 538 nt
Filed under: uncultured bacterium
Lineage: Bacteria
Description: bacterial SSU rRNA
Rfam family: Bacterial small subunit ribosomal RNA
Source: RNAcentral